RNAcentral lists this long non-coding RNA (977 nucleotides) under Lathyrus oleraceus (garden pea). Its description in RNAcentral is "Pisum sativum (pea) long non-coding RNA (PSAT_LNC027095)". The record is from RNAcentral. Lineage: Eukaryota; Viridiplantae; Streptophyta; Magnoliopsida; Fabales; Fabaceae.
UUUUACAAUACAAAAAAAAAGAGAAAAAAUUAUUAAUCAAAGUCCUAUUACACAAGGUUCUACUACAAUUUAAUUUGUUGUUUCCUCCUUCUUCCCACUAGCUCACUCGUUUGUGUUUCCCCGGCAAAAAUCCUACAAUAGUACAUCAACUGCAAGCAUCCAUAAGUCCUUGCAGAUCAACAAUGUAGGCAUGCAUUCAGAGCAGCAGCAAAGCAUUAUCAUUAUCCAUACAUACACCCAAACACAUAUGGAUGCAUUCAUGUUCUAUCUUAUGUCAUAAGAAUCAUCCAAAAACAUUUAUGCAUACAUAUCAACAACCAUGCAUACCUUGUAAAAAUGUUGCAGCAACAAUGCAUAACAACAUUGCAGUUCCAUCAUGAGCAGCACAACAACAAUAACAGGGCAGCAAAAGUAAUCACCAAACAACAUUAUUCCACAUACCAAGCUGCAGUCCACUUAUCAAAGAAGGCAUGGCAUGAACCCACAGUUCCUUCAUCAUUAGAGUUGGCAGCAGGGUCAUUGAUUUUUGUUACACCAAGUCCAACAACCCAUACCUACAGCAACCAAUAAAAUGAAGUCUGGCCGAGCAUAUCAUAGCACACUGCAUCAUUAGAAACUAACUUUCACUAGGCAUGGUAUUAAGAUUGCAGCAAAGAAGAUCAACAACUUAACAGUAACUUAACUCUUUGAAUUGUUGAAUCGCGAUGCUAUCGAGGAGCGCUAUCCAUAAACACAAAACUGGAGCUGUGAAUCGUGUUUCAGCUUAUGGACAGAAGCACUUUUCUCCUUUAUGUUUGUUUGAACAAUGUAACCUACGAUUGAUCCUGAUCUCGAAUCAUGAUGCGAUUGUGUUGAGAACACGAAUUCACAAGCGGAUAUGAUGAAAAUGUGAUGCGAAGAACACGAUGAUAAACUCUGCUAACGUGAUGCAAUGAGACGCGAUGAUGUUGCUCAAGCCAAAACGCGAUACAGACUUU